GACGAACGCGGGCGGCGUGCCUAAUACAUGCAAGUAGAACGCUGAAGGAGGAGCUUGCUUCUCCGGUGAGUUGCGAACGGGUGAGUAACGCGUAGGUAACCUGCCUGGUAGCGGGGGAUAACUAUUGGAAACGAUAGCUAAUACCGCAUAAGAGUAGAUGUUGCAUGACAUUUGCUUAAAAGGUGCAAUUGCAUCACUACCAGAUGGACCUGCGUUGUAUUAGCUAGUUGGUGGGGUAACGGCUCACCAAGGCGACGAUACAUAGCCGACCUGAGAGGGUGAUCGGCCACACUGGGACUGAGACACGGCCCAGACUCCUACGGGAGGCAGCAGUAGGGAAUCUUCGGCAAUGGACGGAAGUCUGACCGAGCAACGCCGCGUGAGUGAAGAAGGUUUUCGGAUCGUAAAGCUCUGUUGUAAGAGAAGAACGAGUGUGAGAGUGGAAAGUUCACACUGUGACGGUAUCUUACCAGAAAGGGACGGCUAACUACGUGCCAGCAGCCGCGGUAAUACGUAGGUCCCGAGCGUUGUCCGGAUUUAUUGGGCGUAAAGCGAGCGCAGGCGGUUAGAUAAGUCUGAAGUUAAAGGCUGUGGCUUAACCAUAGUACGCUUUGGAAACUGUUUAACUUGAGUGCAAGAGGGGAGAGUGGAAUUCCAUGUGUAGCGGUGAAAUGCGUAGAUAUAUGGAGGAACACCGGUGGCGAAAGCGGCUCUCUGGCUUGUAACUGACGCUGAGGCUCGAAAGCGUGGGGAGCAAACAGG
This 762-nucleotide ribosomal RNA is filed under the name uncultured Streptococcus sp. RNAcentral's name for it is "bacterial SSU rRNA". It matches the Rfam family "Bacterial small subunit ribosomal RNA", at positions 28 to 776 of the family's 1533-position model. The record is from RNAcentral. Lineage: Bacteria; Bacillati; Bacillota; Bacilli; Lactobacillales; Streptococcaceae.